RNAcentral lists this microRNA (19 nucleotides) under Tribolium castaneum (red flour beetle). RNAcentral's name for it is "tca-miR-3856-5p". Lineage: Eukaryota; Metazoa; Arthropoda; Insecta; Coleoptera; Tenebrionidae. The record is from miRBase by way of RNAcentral.
UGCAAGAAAGUCAUUUGAA